RNAcentral lists this non-coding RNA (840 nucleotides) under Pseudemoia entrecasteauxii. Its description in RNAcentral is "partial 12S ribosomal RNA". It matches the Rfam family "Bacterial small subunit ribosomal RNA". Lineage: Eukaryota; Metazoa; Chordata; Lepidosauria; Squamata; Scincidae. The record is from RNAcentral.
UUGGUCCUAAACUUGCCGUUGUUUUUAAUAAAAUUUAUACAUGCAAGCUUCAACACACCAGUGAGAAUGCCCAAACCCCCCGAACAGCGGGUAGGAGCAGGCAUCAGGAGCAAACAAUUCGCCUAAAACGCCUUGCUACGCCACACCCACAAGGGCUUUCAGCAGUAAAAAAUAUUAAGAAAUAAGCGAAAGCUUGACUUAGUUAUUAUUAAACUGGUCGGUAAAUUUCGUGCCAGCCACCGCGGUUACACGAAAGACCAAAAACAACGACCCACGGCGUAAAGAGUGAUGAAAGUAAGCAUAGCCUUUAAAGAAGAAUUGCAACAAAGUUGUAAAACACUACUGUCUGCAAGAACCACAACAACAAAAUGCCUUUACACCACUUAACCUCACGAAAGCUAAGGAACAAACUGGGAUUAGAUACCCCACUAUGCUUAGCCGUAAACGAAGACAGUGAAAAUACAACGCUGUUCGCCAGAGAACUACAAGCACAAAGCUCAAAACUCCAAGGACUUGGCGGUGCUCCAUAUCAACCUAGAGGAGCCUGUCCUAUAAUCGAUACCCCACGAUCUACCUCACCACUUUUUGAAACUCAGCCUAUAUACCGCCGUCCCCAGCCUACCUUGUGAAAGAAACAAAGUAGGCGGAACAGCCACUCACUAGAACGUCAGGUCAAGGUGUAGCACAUAAAGUGGAAGAGAUGGGCUACACUCUCUCCCCCAGAGAAUACGAACAGCACAAUGAAACCCUGCUCGAAGGUGGAUUUAGCAGUAAGAUGGACAAGAGUGCCCAUCUUAAACAAGCCCUGGAGCGCGCACACACCGCCCGUCACCCUCAUCA